ACUGUGAUGGCAGAAAAAGUGCACCAGAUUUAAGCUUUGGUUAUAUAGGAUAACUAUUCAUAGUA
Molecule: transfer RNA, 65 nt
Filed under: Pilumnopeus makianus
Lineage: Eukaryota; Metazoa; Arthropoda; Malacostraca; Decapoda; Pilumnidae
Description: tRNA-Leu
Source: RNAcentral